ACGCUCGACACCUACGGGGAGGCAGCAGGUGGGGAAUAUUGCACAAGUGGGGGAAACCCUGAUGCAGCGACGCCGCGUGGAGGAAGAAGGUCUUCGGAUUGUAAACUCCUGUUGUUAGGGGAAAAAGAGGAUGGUACCCAACAAGGAAGUGACGGCUAACUACGUGCCGANNCGCGAGUAUNGNGGCGNGNGAGAG
RNAcentral lists this ribosomal RNA (196 nucleotides) under uncultured bacterium. RNAcentral's name for it is "partial 16S ribosomal RNA". It matches the Rfam family "Bacterial small subunit ribosomal RNA", at positions 328 to 538 of the family's 1533-position model. The record is from RNAcentral.